UACGAAGGUUGCAAGCGUUACUCGGAAUUACUAGGCGUAAAGGGCAGGUAGGUGGUUUGGUAAGUCUAUUGUGAAAGCUCCCGGCUUAACCGGGAGAGGCCAAUGGAUACUACCAGGCUUGAGUAUAGGAGAGGUUACUGGAAUUCCCGGAGUAGCGGUGAAAUGCGCAGAUAUCGGGAGGAACACCAAUGGCGAAAGCGGGUAACUGGACUAUUACUGACACUCAACUGCGAAAGCUAGGGGAGCAAACAGG
Molecule: ribosomal RNA, 253 nt
Filed under: uncultured bacterium
Lineage: Bacteria
Description: partial 16S ribosomal RNA
Rfam family: Bacterial small subunit ribosomal RNA
Source: RNAcentral